UAAUGAUGGAGAUUGUAGCACUACCCUGCACACAGACAUGUAAUGGAUUUGCCUAGUCCAUUAUCAGAAGAGUGACCAGGACUGUUCGUCCUGUCAGAGAAGUUUCUCGAGAAGCAUUACAAGGGACUUGUAUGAAUGGCAGAAGAAUUUUAUUUAACUGACCACCCAACCAUUGCCUGCUGUUGGAGACUGAACACUUUAUUGAAAAUUGCUGGGGUGUAGCAAUCAAUGGGUGUCCUUAUUUGCCCUGAGAAGAGUCAGAGAACUCCCUGGGCCUCAUGAGAUGGUGACACCCUGCAGUAGGAACAGUUCCUACCGAUAUCUCUUAAAAGCAGACAGAGGUUCUCAUAGCAUCUGAUCCAUUUCUGGAGACAAACUUUUGUAUGGAGCUGGGUAGCAGUUACUUGAGAUGUCCGGCUGAUUGAUGAGGAUAAUUUCCCUGAGACUCUAACAUUCUGUAGGACUUGGAUAGCUCUAUUACUGUAGAAAAUGUCAGGACGGUGGAGAUUUAGAUAAGUGGUGUGAUGUUAUUGAUGGUAAACAGAAGACUGUGACCUUGAAUCUGAAGAUCUGUGAUGAAGACUGGACGUUUGGGGUCACUCUCUGUUACAGUACUACAAAUCUAACAGUGUUACACUCAGCCACAAAGAGGUUGUCUCUGAUGUCCACACAUAAACCGAAUGGAGUGACUAAAUCACAGUGAAUGUAACGGAGGAACUGUCCGUCCUGAUCUAGGAUGUGGAUACGGUCAUAGUAAAUGUCUGCUGUCAGGAUGUGACUCUGGCUGUCUGUAGUGAUGCCGUAUGGAUUAAAUGAUUGCUUGGUAUUAGAGGGAUGACCAGUGUAUCUAAAUCGGAGUUUUCCUGACUGAUUGACCACCACUACUGCUCUAGCUGUAUAGUCAGCCACACAGAUAUCCAGGUUCCUGUUCUCACUGAGGUAUUUAAUGGAACCACCAGAUGAGUAGAGAGGACGACCCUGAUCAUCAAACUGAAUGCUUUGUUUCUGUGUGGAGCCGGAGUAACGCACGACUUUG
This is a long non-coding RNA of Ostrea edulis (European flat oyster), 1036 nucleotides long. RefSeq lists it as uncharacterized. The transcript is spliced from 6 exons. Lineage: Eukaryota; Metazoa; Mollusca; Bivalvia; Ostreida; Ostreidae. The record is from RefSeq and is a predicted model, not a curated record.